RNAcentral lists this long non-coding RNA (306 nucleotides) under Mytilus galloprovincialis (Mediterranean mussel). Lineage: Eukaryota; Metazoa; Mollusca; Bivalvia; Mytilida; Mytilidae. The record is from RNAcentral.
GAAAAUUCCUAUUAAAAGAACUCUGACAAUGUUCGAUCAGGUCUUUAUUUUAUACAAUUAAUUGGUUGAUGACAUUUCCGAAGAUCAUAUAAUAAGAACAAAACGACAUUUGAGAAAAUUGCCGGGUCGAAAAGAAGAGAGUGUUCUGUAUGUUCUGUACGAAAUGUCCCUGGUUGCAGGAAAGGGCGUAAACAUGUAUAUGCAUGUGUGCUCUCUGUCGUAAAAUUGUUCAUAAACCAUGUAGUAAAUAUAAGAAACACGACAGACGAUGUAACACCGACGAAUAAAAUAUCUUUCUUGAGAAAU